This is a long non-coding RNA of Zalophus californianus (California sea lion), 504 nucleotides long. RefSeq lists it as uncharacterized. The transcript has 3 exons. The record is from RefSeq and is a predicted model, not a curated record. Lineage: Eukaryota; Metazoa; Chordata; Mammalia; Carnivora; Otariidae.
GUCACACCGCCAGCCGAUGGGGGCACUACAUCUGCCUGAUUCUAGAGCCCUUUCUGCUCCCUCUGUGCAGCCCCUGAAGGGCACCAAUCAAUUCUUAUCCAUCACGACUCAGGAUCUUUUCUAAAACAACCUCUCCUGACUUUCGGCAAGAACAGCAGGAGAGACUUAAUUGAAAGAAAGGGUAUUUUGCAGGAAGUAAAGAAAUUGUGAUUGUUUUAUAGUAACUGCUGCUGUGACACGAAGUGCCUUUAGCAAACAUCAAACGUGGUUAAUGCCUUCACCAAGGGGACAGCUGCCUAUGGAAUAACAGCCCAGCCAGGUGGGAUCGCCAGCAACAGCCUUGGCCUCAUGAUUGAGACCUUUGAACAUCAGCUAUAACCCGGCCCAGAUUGGCUUCUCACUUUGAAAGAUUGCCCAAGCAGGUGGCACAGGACAGAGACACCUUGGCGAUGUAGUGCAAACAACUUCCACCGUAAUCCGACAUCCUCCAGUAACACUCGUCAC